This 398-nucleotide ribosomal RNA is filed under the name uncultured bacterium. RNAcentral describes it as "partial 16S ribosomal RNA". It matches the Rfam family "Bacterial small subunit ribosomal RNA", at positions 523 to 918 of the family's 1533-position model. The record is from RNAcentral.
AUACGUAGGGUGCGAGCGUUGUCCGGAAUUACUGGGCGUAAAGAGCUCGUAGGUGGUUUGUCGCGUCGUCUGUGAAAUUCCGGGGCUUAACUCCGGGCGUGCAGGCGAUACGGGCAUAACUUGAGUACUGUAGGGGAGACUGGAAUUCCUGGUGUAGCGGUGAAAUGCGCAGAUAUCAGGGGGAACACCGGUGGCGAAGGCGGGUCUCUGGGCAGUAACUGACGCUGAGGAGCGAAAGCAUGGGUAGCGAACAGGAUUAGAUACCCUGGUAGUCCAUGCCGUAAACGGUGGGCGCUAGGUGUAGGGGUCUUCCACGACUUCUGUGCCGUAGCUAACGCAUUAAGCGCCCCGCCUGGGGAGUACGGCCGCAAGGCUAAAACUCAAAUGAAUUGACGGGG